UUUUUUGUUUUUUUUUUUGAUGAACAACAAUUUUAUUUUUCACACUUAAAGGCUAAUGAAUAACCAUUACUAAUCCUAUUAAAGAAAACCCAACAUUCAAUAGGAAAGGAUAACUAUAUUUACUCAUUAAAUACCAUUUAAGUUUUCUACAACACAACUUCAAAAUACCCAGCAUGCACGUUUAAUCUCAGUACAAUGGAUUUAAGACCAAGUUUACAGGUUACAGCAUCAAGGCUAGAUUACAAAUUAUCAUAGUCAUCAUCGUCAUCAUCAUCGUCAUCAUCAUCAUCUUCUCGUUUUCUUUUCAAUGCAUUUGAUGAUUCAUUGGAAGUAUUUUGUGAUGACACCAUGUUUGUAGUGAUAAGAAUGUUUUUGGACCCAAUUAAUGAUGGAUUAAUCAGAACAUUCUGAACUGCGGAUGUGGCAGGAAUUGAUGCUUUUACAGUUGGGGACUGUGAUGUGGGCAUCUGUACUGUAAACCUCUGCCCUGUGAGGGACAUGGGAGUCCCUACUUUAGUUGACACUGACAUGGUUUGUGGGGUUGGUGUACCAAGAGUGGGAGUACUUGGUCGGCUAGUAACAGAACCAACACUUAACCGUGGAACUGUUAUUCUUCCCGCAGAAGUUGAUGCCUUUUUUUGUAAAGACUUAAGUCUAUAGUUUGGAGCCGUCAAGCAAUAUCUAUCAGGUGGCAGCCUGGGGCCUGAAUAUGGCUUGAUUAACGGCAAAGGAGUUUGAUUUCUUUGCCUUGCAAUAUCCAAUAAAAAAUCUCUUGGGGGAGGAGAGGUAAAAGACUGAUCAGCACGACACUGAAUGGCAAGCCGCACAUCGUCUGCAUCAACAGUAGCCUUCUUAGCAUGGCUUGAAUAAAUUUUUGCAUCAUCUAGGAUUGUGGUCACAUAUCGGAACGCAAACUCCAACAUCUGAUUUAUAACUCUUGGUUCAUAUUCUGUAAUCCCCAUAUCCUUCAGGAUUUGUGCCAUCAUCUGUGCAUCUUUCGGCAUGCUCUUGGGAGAAGCCAUCUUGCCAGACUCCAUGAUAUCUGUUGAUCAGACUUCUUGAGCUAAAUCACCCACAUUAAUGUAUUUCAAUCCUGAUCUCGAUGCAAGUUCUUUGCCUAGUGUGGUUUUUCCAACCCCCGGGGUACCGGUGAGCAGGAUGUU
RNAcentral lists this long non-coding RNA (1163 nucleotides) under Canis lupus familiaris (dog). RNAcentral's name for it is "lncRNA (ENSCAFG00805017628.1, ENSCAFG00845018391.1)". Lineage: Eukaryota; Metazoa; Chordata; Mammalia; Carnivora; Canidae. The record is from RNAcentral.